RNAcentral lists this ribosomal RNA (250 nucleotides) under uncultured bacterium. RNAcentral describes it as "partial 16S ribosomal RNA". It matches the Rfam family "Bacterial small subunit ribosomal RNA", at positions 15 to 244 of the family's 1533-position model. The record is from RNAcentral.
GAUCCUGGCUCAGGAUGAACGCUGGCGGCGUGCUUAACACAUGCAAGUCGAACGGGAAUUACUUUAUUGAAACUUCGGUCGAUUUAAUUUAAUUCUAGUGGCGGACGGGUGAGUAACGCGUGGGUAACCUGCCUUAUACAGGGGGAUAACAAAGUCAGAAAUGGCUGCUAAUACCGCAUAAGCGCACAGAGCUGCAUGGCUCGGUGUGAAAAACUCCGGUGGUAUAAGAUGGACCCCGCGUUUGGAUUAG